Molecule: small RNA, 30 nt
Filed under: Bombyx mori (domestic silkworm)
Lineage: Eukaryota; Metazoa; Arthropoda; Insecta; Lepidoptera; Bombycidae
Description: ovarian small RNA-16940
Source: RNAcentral
GCGGCCGCGAGGCCAACGUACUGCCCUGUU